This 465-nucleotide ribosomal RNA is filed under the name uncultured bacterium. RNAcentral describes it as "partial 16S ribosomal RNA". It matches the Rfam family "Bacterial small subunit ribosomal RNA", at positions 28 to 507 of the family's 1533-position model. The record is from RNAcentral.
GACGAACGCUGGCGGCGUGCUUAACACAUGCAAGUCGUACGGUAAGGCCCUUUCGGGGGUACACGAGUGGCGAACGGGUGAGUAACACGUGAGUAACCUGCCCACAACUUUGGGAUAACGCUAGGAAACUGGUGCUAAUACUGGAUAUGUGCUCCUGCUGCAUGGUGGGGGUUGGAAAGCUCCGGCGGUUGUGGAUGGACUCGCGGCCUAUCAGCUUGUUGGUGGGGUAGUGGCCUACCAAGGCGGCGACGGGUAGCCGGCCUGAGAGGGUGACCGGCCACAUUGGGACUGAGAUACGGCCCAGACUCCUACGGGAGGCAGCAGUGGGGAAUAUUGCACAAUGGGCGCAAGCCUGAUGCAGCAACGCCGCGUGCGGGAUGACGGCCUUAGGGUUGUAAACCGCUUUCAGCAGGGACGAAGCUUUUUGUGACGGUACCUGCAGAAGAAGCACCGGCUAACUACGUG